UGACGCUGGGGAAAAGGAAGGGGCCUGACAAUGCAAAACCUUGGGAUUUGGAGUCCAAAACACCUGGAGGGCCAAACUUUGCCUAUGCCUGGUCUAUACUGUAGAAUUAACCCAGUUUGACGCUACUUUCACUGCCACAGAUCAAUGCAAAACCUUGGGAUUUAUAAUGUGGAAGCAGAGAAGACUAAAAGUUUUUGGCAAACUAAAACUUCCUUUGAUUCCAUGCCAUAGGGCACUUAAAGGGGUAUCAAACUGAGUUAAUUCUACAGUGUAGACACACUCCCGGACCUGAUUGAAAGGGGAGAGAAAAACAAUCUGCCCCAGUUCCUUUACCUAGGUAUUAAUUAACUAAUAAUAAUAAUAAUCUUUAUUUAUAACCCGCUUUCAUCUCCCCAGGGGGACUCAGAGUGGUUCACAUGGGGACCAAGCCCGAUCAACAGAUAAAACAACACAACAACAUAUAGAAUUAAAACAGUAACAGUAAAAAAAAAUUCAUAAAAUACAUCACUCAAGAGCUAACAUGAUUUCAAACUGCACUAAGAGGCACCUGUAGCUAAGAGUUAACAUGAAAUGACAUAGCAAAGAUCAUUAAAUCUAUUAAAAGACAUUAUUAAAAGAGGAAAAAGCAUUAAAAGGGACCAAAGCUUUGCAUUGCUUGGGAUCCUUGCUCCCACCCAGCCUUCUUACCUGGACGGUGGAAAAAAAAACCCAAAGAGAGCAGGUUCAACUGCAGAGGCAAGCGCGCGUCGAGACGUCCGGUGCGAAGAUGCUGCUCUCCAUCGGGGCUUGGCUCUUAUACCCCUCCCCACUCCCCUCCCCGCCUUUCCCAAACCACACCCACCCCUCCCCUCCCGCCAUGACGUCACCGGCAGGUGAAACUGGCGCCUUGGGACAGGAAACAGAACAAGGGGGAGCGAAAGAUAUAUCCCAGCUGAACUUGCUAACCGAAAGGUUGGUGGUUUGAAUCCGGGGCGUGGAGUGAGCUUCUGCUGUUAGCCCCAGCUUCUGCCAACCUAGCAGUUUGAAAACAUGCAAAUGUGAGUAGAUCAAUGGGUACCACUUCUGCGGGAAGGUAACAGCACUCCAUGCAGUCAUGCUGGCCACAUGACUUUGGAGGUGUCUAUGGACAAUGCCGACUCUUCAGCUUAGAAAUGGAGAUGAGCACCAACCCCUAGGAGUCGGUCAUGACUAGGACUUAAUGUCAGGAAACCUUUCCCUUUCCCUUUUUAUACAAAAAACACCAACAUACGAAAACACAGAAGCUCAACCCCCCCCCCCCAAAUUUGGGGGGGGGGGGGGGUUAGGGGUUCAAACCCCUCCUGAAAUUUUUUUCUGGCUACGGCCCUGCUUCAGACAGUAUCUUCCCUCAUCGAGAUGAUCCCUUCCAAGUCCUAGCCUUCUUCUAAUUUCGAGACUGCAAUCUCAUGUCCCCCAAAUCCCACAGUAAACCCAUUCAGAGAAUUCUGAGCAUUAUAGGCUAACAAAUAACCUUUCCAGGCUCUGGUUUUAGGAAGACGAGACCAUAGCACUGCCCAUAAGAGAGUCCAAGUGUUUCAGUUCCCAGCCCCCAUCCUUUCCACACCACUUCCUUGUUUGUCCCCGAAACUCAAGAAUGUGAAACUCCUCCAAUGGUCUCAGCUUUAACCCUUAAUUCCUGAGAAGAGAAUGUCCCUGGGAGUAGUAGAGAAUGUGGAAUUUAAGGCUGCUUGCUAUUCCUAAAGGCCUUCAACAAUAGAAUAAAUCCUACUGAAUGCAAUGAGACCUAGCGUCAAAGAUUUUCCGAGAGGUAGAUCAGUUUGUCUCUUGACUGGAAAACCAACAACAAAUAGUCUAGUGGCACCUCAAAGACUUCACUAGUUUUAUUUGGGACAUGUUUUUAUGGACCACAAUCAGAACCACAGUUUGCUGCCUCAGAUAUAUAGGAGUCAGGAGAUUGAGUGGGCAUUUAAACGUACAUGGCUGAAACAUUUCUUCUUAUUCUGGUCAUUAACAAACAGUAGUUAAGACUGCUGUGAGUUUUCCAGGCUGUAUGGCCAUGUUCCAGAAGCGUUCUGUCCUGACGUUUCGCCCACAUCUAUGUCAGGCAUCCUCAGAGGUUGUGAGGUCUGUUGGAAACUAGGUAAGUGGGGUUUAUCUAUCUGUGGAAUGUCCAGGGUGGGAGUAGUCAGGAUGUAACAUAGAUAUUCUUACCUCAGAUGAACAGGCUAAUAUAGAUGAGAAGAUUUUGGGUGCAUCUCUACACUGUAGAAUUAAUACAGUUUGACAUCACCUUAACUGCCAUGUCUCACUGCUAUGGAAUCAAAUUAAUUUUAGUUUGGCGAAGCACUAGCACUCCUUGGCAGAGAUAAAGACCUCGUAAAACUACAACUUUCAUUUUGUGUGUGUCAGGAAUGACUUGAGAAACUGCAAGUCGCUUCUGGUGUGAGAGAAUUGGACAUCUGCAAGGACAUUGCCCAGGGGACGGUAGGACAUUUGAUGAUUUACCAUCCUUGUGGGAGGCUUCUCUUAUGUCCCCGCAUGGAGAGCUGGAGCUGACAGAGCGAGCUCACCCUGGAUUCGAACCGCUGACCUGCCUGUCAGCAGUCCUACUGGCACAACUCCCAUGAUUCUAUAGCAUUGAACCAUGGUAGUUAAAGUGGUGCUAAACUAUAAUAUAGAUGUACCCAGAGACAGAGGAUGUGAAAAUUAUCUUUCUUCCCAUUAUGAAAUUACAAGAACCAUUCCUUUCUCUUGUAAUGCCUUACGGGGCAGAAACUCAAGUAGGUUGGAAAGAAUAUAGGCUAGAUAAAUUAAGCAGUAUAGCCUUGCUUAGGAGAUAAACAUUCAGCUCCGUUUCCUUGUUGUAGGAGAGGUGGGAUCAGGGUAUUUGCAGAACAAGGAAGUGGGCCCAUUGUUUGGACCCCCUGGUGGGUGUAAAUUACCCACCUUGUUGGGGCAUGACAAUGAACCAUUGAAAUGGGUCCAGCUAGAAGAUCCGGCCCUUUCAUGUCUCUGGGUGGAGGUUGGGACAAGGAAGAACAACAACAAUGGAACAAAGAAACACAGUUGGGAUGGGGGAAGGAAAGAAAAUAGCCAGUUUUAAAAACUUUAACUGCCAUGGGUCAAAAAGUAUAACAGAGUCUGUACUUUUUUUUAGAAGGAAAACAAAAAAACCCCAAGAGAUGGAACUUUCUGUAGAAUUGGAGAAAUAGCUUUAUUACAGCAGUGAUAAACGAGAUGUUUGAGGAGCCCACAGUGGCACAGCAGGUUAAAGCGCAGUUCGAAAACAUGCAAAUGUGAGUAGAUCAAUAGGUACCACUCCGG
Molecule: long non-coding RNA, 3303 nt
Organism: Anolis carolinensis (green anole)
Lineage: Eukaryota; Metazoa; Chordata; Lepidosauria; Squamata; Anolidae
Source: Ensembl